AAGGUAACGGCUUACCAAGGCGACGAUCAGUAGCCGACCUGAGAGGGUGAUCGGCCACAUUGGAACUGAGACACGGUCCAAACUCCUACGGGAGGCAGCAGGGGGGAAUAUUGCACAAUGGGCGAAAGCCUGAUGCAGCAACGCCGCGGGAGUGAUGAAGGCCUUCGGGUCGUAAAACUCUGUCCUCAAGGAAGAUAAUGACGGUACUUGAG
This 212-nucleotide ribosomal RNA is filed under the name Clostridioides difficile. RNAcentral's name for it is "partial 16S ribosomal RNA". It matches the Rfam family "Bacterial small subunit ribosomal RNA", at positions 254 to 483 of the family's 1533-position model. The record is from RNAcentral. Lineage: Bacteria; Bacillati; Bacillota; Clostridia; Peptostreptococcales; Peptostreptococcaceae.